UACAGAGGGUGCAAGCGUUAAAUCGGAAUUACUGGGCGUAAAGCGCGUGUAGGCUGCUCUGCAAAGUCGGAUGUGAAAGCCCUGGGCUCAACCUAGGAAGUGCAUUCGAAACUGCAGAGCUUGAGUCCUGGAGAGGAUAGCGGAAAUUCUCGGUGUAGAGGUGAAAAUUCGUAGAUAUCGAGAGGAACACCGGUGGCGAAGGCGGCUAUCUGGACAGUGACUGACGCUGAGACGCGAAAGCGUGGGGAGC
This 250-nucleotide ribosomal RNA is filed under the name uncultured bacterium. Its description in RNAcentral is "partial 16S ribosomal RNA". It matches the Rfam family "Bacterial small subunit ribosomal RNA", at positions 524 to 769 of the family's 1533-position model. The record is from RNAcentral.